RNAcentral lists this ribosomal RNA (600 nucleotides) under Gambierdiscus caribaeus. RNAcentral's name for it is "SSU rRNA". It matches the Rfam family "Eukaryotic small subunit ribosomal RNA", at positions 55 to 666 of the family's 1831-position model. Lineage: Eukaryota; Dinophyceae; Gonyaulacales; Pyrocystaceae. The record is from RNAcentral.
AUGUCUCAGCUUAUGUUGCUUUCUGCUACACUGUGAAUGGCUCAUUGUCCGCCACAAAUGGAUUGGUGGCUGACACAUAUGGAUAUCUAUGGCAACUCUGUAGCUAACACAUGCUCGUUGACCCUGCUGGAUGGGUUGUAGCCAUUCUCACAAGAACCAGUUCAGGCUCUGCUUGGCCAGGCAUGAGUACAAAUGGCUGUAUGAAUCACGGUGGCUGUGCAGGUGAUAAUCCUUCAAGGAGUCUGAGCUAUCAGCUUCCGACGGCAGGGUAAUGGCCCACUGUGGCAGUGACAGGUGACGGAGGAUUGGGGUUUGAUUCCGGAGAGGGAGCCUGAGAAAUGGCUACCACAUCCAAGGAAGGCAGCAGGCACGCAACUUGCCCAAUUCUGGACGAAAGAGGUAGUGACAAGAAAUAGCAAUUCAAGGCAUCCAUGUCUUGUGCUUGGAAUGAAAGACCUGCACACUUCCUUUUGAGUAUCUAUUGGAGGGCAAGUCUGGUGCCAGCAGCCGCGGUAAUUCCAGCUCCAAUGGCACAGGUGGGAGUUGUUGCAGUCAAAAGGCUCGUAGUUGGAUUUCUGCAGAGGAUGCCUGGUCCGCCCA